Molecule: long non-coding RNA, 794 nt
Organism: Bubalus bubalis (water buffalo)
Lineage: Eukaryota; Metazoa; Chordata; Mammalia; Artiodactyla; Bovidae
Exons: 3
Source: RefSeq, a predicted model, not a curated record
GCCCGGCGACUCGCACCGGAAGCGGAAGUGAGCCCCUGCCGUUCGCCAUCUUGGGGAGGUCGACGCUAGAGGAGGAGGAGCCGAGGGGUGCCGCCGGCUGACAAGCGGCUUCCUCCGCCUCUGUUUGGGUGACGCGGAAGCGAUGGCUUAGGCCCUGUCCCAGUUUGGCUUCAGGUCCAGAGUCUUUCCAGUGAAGAAAACUGAUUGACAUCAUCAGCAAGGCUGGACCUUUCAUCAUACACAAAUGACCCUGGGAGAGACUGGACUGGUGAGAAGUUGACAGGAGGACUGCACUCUGGGCAGUGGAGGAGACUGCAAGAGGACACAUCUUUGCUAGACGGUGCUUCACCGUCUGACUCUACCUCCCAGGACUAACGGGAGGGCAAGCAGUAGGCUGACGAGGUCCAAGAAGGAUCAUUAAUACCACAUCUGCCAGGGACUCUAUCUGUCCCUGAGGGAGAAUGGACAACAUUUCUUGCUUUGAAGCUAAAACAGGGAAAAUCAGGAAUGGAUGGUUCAUGUCAUCUUCCUUCCUUUUUUUUUUUUUCCUAUUGGCAUCUCUGAAUACAAUUUUCAGGUUCUUGGUGUUACAUGCUCAGCUCAGUGAACCCACAAGGGUGAGUUAGAAAGGAACAGGAUAAGGUGUUUUCCCAGCAGUUCAAGUUCCCCAAGCUAAUGCAAAAAAAAGGACCCUGAAAGAGCUAUGAUACUCUUCAAUUAUUACUUAAAAUCAAGCACAACACAGUUUCUGCCUAAUCUCUCAUAUUUCUUGUACCCAAACGGAAACGCUCACC